RNAcentral lists this long non-coding RNA (1120 nucleotides) under Cyanistes caeruleus (blue tit). RNAcentral describes it as "lncRNA (ENSCCEG00000020720.1)". The record is from RNAcentral. Lineage: Eukaryota; Metazoa; Chordata; Aves; Passeriformes; Paridae.
UAUGGAUGGAGUCUGGCUGUGGAGAGGCACUUGCUUUGCUGCAAAGGGAAAUGGGAAGCCACUUGAUCUGCUGCUGCUCAAUUGCUGUGGGGGAAGGAGGAUUUUUUGCCAGAGGUGGGAGUCCUAGAAAAAGGCCGUAUCCCCAGGGAUGAAGGGUGUCUGAAGAGCAGCAUGGCCAGAGCGGCUGAAGAAGAGAUACUUCUUUCCUCUUGUGUUUAGCAGUGCUACUGCCACACUGAAUAAGACCUGAGAGAACGGAUUUCAACCUGUCUUCCUUCCUUUCUUUCUACAUUUUGGAGAAUGCCUGAUCUCACUGUGGGGAUCUAGACAGUGGAGCUCAGAGGAAGAUGCCCAGCUUCAUUCUCACAAUGUGCUUAUUUGGCCCUAAUGCCUCCUGCAGAUAUAGAUGCUUCAGCUUUCCUGCAUGGCUGCUGCAGGAAAUGCACCUGAGUGCAGGGCUACCUGUGAGCAGGAUGACUCAGGGUCUGGGAAAAGAGGCACAUCUUAAACUCAGCCUGGAACAGAGAAGCUGUGGAUACCCUCUCCAGGGAAGAGUUUAAGGACAGGAUGGAUGGAGCUCUGAGCAACCUGGUCUAGUGGAAAGGUGUCCCUGCCCACAGCAGGAGUGUUGGAACUAGAUGAUGUUUAGGGUCAUAUCCAGGUCAAACCAUUCUAUGGUUCUAUGAUAUUCUUAACCCCAUGCUGUGUCUCUUACCAGCAGCAAAGAGAUUAUUGAUGAGCUUCUCAGGGCUGAGCUGUAGAGCUGAAAUCAGUGACAGUUGCACGCCUAAACCUGCCAGCUGGCUUUGGGAAUGCCAGCUUCCCUCUGUUUACUGGAGAGCCCUGCUAUAAGAAGUUAUAAAGUAGCAGAGGAUGUCAUAGUAUUUAGUUGCUGCAGAAGAUAGAGAAUUAGGUGCUCUUUUUUUGCCAGAUUCCCCAGCUGUUGUAUACUGGAUGUUCUCUGCCAACAUCGUGUGUAGAACUACACCGAUUUGCUCCAGCUCAGGAUUUGACUCUAUGAGGCUGUAUCAGAGCAUGUGUCACUUUCCUUUGCAGGCAAGUGAAACAGCAAUGAAUAUAGAAAAAGAUCCUGCAGCUAGGGAAAUUUAAUAAAUAGAAG